GCUGCCAGAUAGGCGUUGAUUGGGUACCUGCACCUCUUGGUGCCGAAACAGCAACGAAAUGGGACAGGAUCAUGUAUUGAUUGGGCGUUGAUGACCAGUAACGAAUGAACGAGGUCUUUGAUGUCUUCUUGUAAAAUCAGUUGAUUUUGGAGCGAAGUCACCUGAAAUGCUGAGUUAAAAGCUGAAAUUAAUUGCAAUAUCCACUUAUACCACGAUUUACGAUUUAUAAUAAAAAUAAUUACAUACCCCGAAAUUCCUGCAUUAAAGUGGAGAGACGCUCAUCAUAAUUAAUUGUGAUAGGAAUUGGUUCAAUUGCUUGAUUCGUGAUACUAAUUUCUUCAUUGCCUAGUAAUUGAAAUAAUUGCUUAAAUAUUCUUUAAAUUUGUAAAAUUCUUAAAAAUUCAUAUAAAGGGUGUUAAUAAAGUCCGAUCCCAUGAAUUUU
Molecule: long non-coding RNA, 442 nt
Organism: Folsomia candida
Lineage: Eukaryota; Metazoa; Arthropoda; Collembola; Entomobryomorpha; Isotomidae
Exons: 2
Source: RefSeq, a predicted model, not a curated record